Molecule: ribosomal RNA, 494 nt
Filed under: uncultured bacterium
Lineage: Bacteria
Description: partial 16S ribosomal RNA
Rfam family: Bacterial small subunit ribosomal RNA
Source: RNAcentral
GACGAACGCUGGCGGCGUGCUUAACACAUGCAAGUCGAACGGAAAGGCCUGCUUUCCCUUGUGGAUUGCGGGUACUCGAGUGGCGAACGGGUGAGUAACACGUGAGUGAUCUGCCCCCAACUUGGGUAUAAGCCUGGGAAACUGGGUCUAAUUCCCGAUAGGACUGCAGGGUGGUGCCUGUGGUGGAAAACGAUUUUCUAGUGGUUGGGGAUGAGCUCGCGGCCUAUCAGCUUGUUGGUGGGGUAAUGGCCUACCAAGGCGGCGACGGGUAGCCGGCCUGAGAGGGUGGACGGCCACAUUGGGACUGAGAUACGGCCCAGACUCCCACGGGAGGCAGCAGUGGGGAAUAUUGCACAAUGGGCGGAAGCCUGAUGCAGCGACGCCGCGUGGGGGAUGACGGCCUUCGGGUUGUAAACUCCUUUCGACCGCGAGGAAACCACCUGGUUGGAAGGGUGGUGACGGUAGUGGUAGAAGAAGCACCGGCUAACUACGUG